AACGCGAAGAACCUUACCGGGGCUUGACAUCCCGUGACCAUCUAGGAGACUAGGUUUUCCCGCAAGGGAACACGGAGACAGGUGCUGCAUGGCUGUCGUCAGCUCGUGCCGUGAGGUGUUGGGUUAAGUCCCGCAACGAGCGCAACCCUUGUCGUGUGUUGGUCGCAAGAUCUCUCACACGAGACCGCCGGUGACAAGCCGGAGGAAGGUGGGGAUGACGUCAAGUCAGCAUGGCCCUUACGUCCCGGGCUACACACGUGCUACAAUGGGGAGGACAGCGAGUCGCGAACCCGCGAGGGCAAGCUAAUCUCUUAAACCUCUCCUCAGUUCGGAUUGGAGGCUGCAACUCGCCUCCAUGAAGUCGGAAUCGCUAGUAACCGCAGAUCAGCUACGCUGCGGUGAAUACGUUCCCGGGCCUUGUACACACCGACAUA
RNAcentral lists this ribosomal RNA (434 nucleotides) under uncultured bacterium. RNAcentral describes it as "bacterial SSU rRNA". It matches the Rfam family "Bacterial small subunit ribosomal RNA", at positions 958 to 1397 of the family's 1533-position model. The record is from RNAcentral.